Molecule: long non-coding RNA, 1320 nt
Organism: Eriocheir sinensis (Chinese mitten crab)
Lineage: Eukaryota; Metazoa; Arthropoda; Malacostraca; Decapoda; Varunidae
Exons: 2
Source: RefSeq, a predicted model, not a curated record
CCCGGGCAGGUGGAGGUCGUUAGCGAAAGCAGUUCAUCUAGGAGAGCAAACUCCGAUUACAAACCCGGGCAGGUGGAGGUCGUUAGCGUAAGCAGUUCACCUAGGAGAGCAAACUCCGAUUACAAAACCGGGCAGGUGAGGUUCGUUAGCCGUGGUAGGCAAUUCACCUAGGAGAGCAAACUCCGAACAAUAAACCCGGGCAGGUUGGGCUCGUGAGCCGUCAUAGGUAAUACACCUAGGAGAGCAAACUCCGAACAAAAAACCCGGGCAGGUUGGGCUCGUGAGCCGUCAUAGGUAAUACACCUAGGAGAGCAAACUCCGAACAAUAAACCCGGGCAGGUGGAGCUCGUCAGCCGUGGUAGGCAGUCUGCCUAGGAGAGCAAACUCCGAACAAUAAACCGGGGCUUGUGGUGCUCCUUAGAUGUCGUAGACAAUCCACGUGAUGGGAACACCAAAGAAAAGGAAAAUAAAAACGAACACAAGAAAAAGGAAAAUAUAGUAACAAAACAUCAAGAAAAGAAAAGAAAAAACACAGAUCAUCCACCUUCAGGCCCUAACAUCUUCAAAAUUAUGGGUGAGUCUUUUCUGGGGAGAAAGAGGCUCAUCCAGACCAAAGAACAUAAAAAAGGGAUGAUAUAAAAAGGAACACCAAAAAAAUGGGAAAAAGAGAAAAAACAUCGCAGAAGAAAAGUAACAGCAAUAACAGAACAACGUCAAGAAAAGUAACAUGAAAAGAAACAUCAUCCACUAUUCGGCCCCAAACUAACAUCACCAAAAUUAUGGGUGGGUCUUUUCUGGGGAGAAAGAGGCUCAUCCAGACCCAAGAACAUCAAAGAGGGAUGAUAUGAAAAAGAACACCAAAAAAUAGGGGAAAAAAGAGCAAAAGAACAUCGGAAAAGAAAAGUAACAGCAAUAACAGAACAACAUUAAGAAAAGUAACAUACAAAGAAACAUCAUCCACCAUUCGGCCCCAAACUAACAUCACCAAAAUUAUGGGUGGGUCUCUUCUGGGAGGAAAGCGGCUCACCCAGACCAACGAAGAACAUCAACAAGAGGAUGAUAUGAAAUAAAAGAACAUUAAAAAACACGAAGAAAAGAAAUAAGAAGAAAAGAACAGAAAAAAAACAUCGGAAAAGAAAAACAAGAAGAAAAACACAUCAAAAGAAGAAAAAUAUAAGAAACAUCAUCCACCUUUCGGCCCCUAACUAACAUCACCAAAAUUAUGGGUGGGUCUCUUCUGGGAGGAAAGCGGCUCACCCAGACCAAUGAACAUCAACAAGAGGAUGAUAUGAAAUAAAAGAACAUCAAAAAAGAAAAACA